GGAUCUACUGGUAGCCAUGUGGAAGAGCAUGCUGAACCACGUCAUAAACAUGCACGCUGGCCAUGACAGCCCUUAUCCGAGGUGUCUGCACGGGGAUGUGCAAAAUGGAAAGUGGUUGACACCAGGCACCCCGGCUUACGCACGUCUCGUGAGCAUAGCUACAGAACAGGGGCUACUGAAGGAUAUAAGGAAGCUUUCCUCUUCUGGACAAACUUAUGGACUUGAAUCGUAUCACAGUCU
This is a long non-coding RNA of Rhipicephalus sanguineus (brown dog tick), 240 nucleotides long. RefSeq lists it as uncharacterized. The transcript is spliced from 3 exons. The record is from RefSeq and is a predicted model, not a curated record. Lineage: Eukaryota; Metazoa; Arthropoda; Arachnida; Ixodida; Ixodidae.